GACGAACGCUGGCGGCGUGCUUAACACAUGCAAGUCGAACGGUGAAGCGCCUUCCUUUUUGGUGGGUGUGGAUGAGUGGCGAACGGGUGAGUAACACGUGAGUAACCUACCCCCUUCUUCUGGAUAACCGCAUGAAAGUGUGGCUAAUACGGGAUAUUCUGGGUCUGUCGCAUGAUGGGUCUGGGAAAGAUAUUGUUUCGGUGGGGGAUGGGCUCGCGGCCUAUCAGCUUGUUGGUGGGGUGAUGGCCUACCAAGGCGGUGACGGGUAGCCGGCCUGAGAGGGUGGACGGUCACAAUGGGACUGAGACACGGCCCAGACUCCUACGGGAGGCAGCAGUGGGGAAUAUUGCACAAUGGGCGCAAGCCUGAUGCAGCGACGCCGCGUGAGGGAUGGAGGCCUUCGGGUUGUGAACCUCUUUCGCCAGUGAAGCAGGCCUGCCUCGUUUGUGGGUGGGUUGACGGUAGCUGGAUAAGAAGCGCCGGCUAACUACGUG
RNAcentral lists this ribosomal RNA (494 nucleotides) under uncultured bacterium. Its description in RNAcentral is "partial 16S ribosomal RNA". It matches the Rfam family "Bacterial small subunit ribosomal RNA", at positions 28 to 507 of the family's 1533-position model. The record is from RNAcentral.